UACAGAGGUCUCAAGCGUUGUUCGGAAUUACUGGGCGUAAAGGGUGCGCAGGCCGCGCGGGCAGUCAAUUGUGUAAUUCAGGGGCUCAACCUCUGGACUGCGCUUGAUACUUCCGUGCUAGAGCUUUGGAGAGGGUAGCAGAAUUCAUGGUGUAGCAGUGAAAUGCGUAGAUAUCAUGAGGAAUACCAGAGGCGAAGGCGGCUACCUGGACAAUUGCUGACGCUCAGGCACGAAAGCGUGGGGAGCAAAAGGG
This 253-nucleotide ribosomal RNA is filed under the name uncultured bacterium. Its description in RNAcentral is "partial 16S ribosomal RNA". It matches the Rfam family "Bacterial small subunit ribosomal RNA", at positions 524 to 776 of the family's 1533-position model. The record is from RNAcentral.